This is a long non-coding RNA of Anguilla rostrata (American eel), 2358 nucleotides long. RefSeq lists it as uncharacterized. The transcript has 2 exons. The record is from RefSeq and is a predicted model, not a curated record. Lineage: Eukaryota; Metazoa; Chordata; Actinopteri; Anguilliformes; Anguillidae.
AUGCCUGUAAUGUAAUGUAUAUGUAAUGUCCUGCCUACUUAAAUAUGCAGGUGUGUAAAUAUGCAGUAUGUAUCACAGUUCUAACAGACAAAAUGGUCAUUAUAAUAUUGCUUUGUAUGUGAAUGUGAUAAAAUGUCCACAAUGCUUUCCUAAUAUUUAGUAUUGAAAGAGUAUGGGGAACAGAAUUACAUUUCAAUUAAAGUUGUUGGGGGGGGCUGUGGCUGUGUCCCCCACGUCAGCUACGCCCCUGCCCACGUCAGUUGUUCUGAUUGCUUCGUUUUGCUCAAAAACUUCUACUUCGUACGAAGUAUACUGCCUACUUAAGUGGUUCUGAGACGAAAAAGAAGCAACAGUGCAGAUAGGCCCCAUCACGUGAUCAAGCUGUGAAGCUACCACGGUUGUCUCAUGACCCUGUUACAAAUCUAAUCUAUUUUGUUUUUAACCAAUCAGAGAUCAGUGCGCCUAGUCAAGGAAAACGGAAUUGUGAUAUUUUAUCAUAUUUUUCUCUAUUCUGUUCGGCGUAUAAAGUUUUACGAUCCAGGAAAAAUGUGAAAAUAUUAGUGCGCGCUUCUAAUGAUCACCACAAUGUGAGCGUUUGCCACCUAAUUCGCGCUGGAGCAGGCUAGAUGAAUUUCUACAACGAUCAUAGGAAAUGCAUUGCAGACGCAUCAGUAAUUCUAUUUCUGGGCCGUGGUAGCCAUCUUGCGGUGGUGCCUUGGCGGUGCCACAUGCGGAAGUAGCGAAAUGAACAGGAUUUAAUGGUACCACGUGAUCACGUUUCCCUUCUAGUUCCAGUUCAUUGCUGGCUUCCACAGAAGUUUUUCACAAUUCACAUUGUGUUUGGGCGUUUUCUUGGGGAAAAAGACAACGAUACAGAGCUUUAUCCCGAAGCCAUAAAGAAAUUGACAGUCUGAGGAGGAAACUGCAGCAGGUGGAGAGCGAGCUGAGGACGGCGCGAGAGGCAGCAGCGCGAGAGAGCCGCUCUAUCGGAGUCCAGGUUGAGGACCAGUUUGGAAGAGCAGAAGGAGGUAUGCUUGUAUCAUAUUUUGCCAGUGAAACGUAUAUAUAUAUAUAUAUAUUUAUUUAUAACGUUAUUAAUUGAUUUUACACGUAGGGCUAUUUAUCAAAGGGAAAUUGUUUUGAUGCGUAACGAAAUAAAGGUUAAUUAACAGUGAUACAAAAUUUUAUAAUAAUAUUUGUGCUAGAUUUAAGCUAGGUGCCACCGUGGCUACCCUGAUUCUGAAAAACAAAGUACAUGGGCGUAUUCAGUUCAGCACAGUGAUUGUGAACCGAUUUAAUACUUUCUCGCUGUGACCUGUAAUCUAUUUAAAUUUGCUGAAGCGAAAUCCCAAUGACCAAACAUAACGAAAAGCAGUAUGUGGUGGUGGUUGGUUUUCCAUAGUGAUGCUCAUGUAUCGUGCUACAGCGAAAAAGCAAAGCACACAUUGCAUUGCAUUACAUUGUGUAUUUUGUAAUCAUAAUAAUAAUACACAUACACACACACACCGAAAUACAAUAUGUGGUAUAUAUUGUUUUUAAUUGUGAAAUGCAAUUUUCGUGCAUUUAAAUACAGUGUUCCCCGGAACGUAAUCUGCCUGCACGCUGUAUUUCACUCAGCUAUAAACGCGACCGAAGGGAACGCGAAUAACAAUAACCUAUUUUAAUUUCUUCAACCAGAAUCUUGCCAAAAUAAAAUUUCAUCAGCUGUCCAGUCACGGUGCUGAGUGCCUGUCUGACUUACGAUCAGUUUGCCUUAAAAAAAAAAAAAAAAUCACAUUCGGGCCGUAACCAGAUGCCAGAUCGCUAUAGCUAUGUCAGUCUUGUUUUUGUUAAUGGCUCACCGAGUUAUAGCUACUGUUUUUGCUUUCGAUCUGCACGUGCUGUUUCAUAAUUUUGUAUGUUUGAACCAUGUCCAUAUAACGUUUGCACAUUGAAUUUCGUUUUGGCACGUUUAACCUUCCAUAUUAAUCAUGCUACAGUGAAUGUACAUACAGUACACAUUUAGAGCAUGGAAUUUGUGUUACAGUCCUGGUUUACAAACACUUUCGGACAUUUCAGAUUACGAGAAAAAAGUAAUAAAUAAAUAGAUAUGUCAAUAAAUAUAUUAAUGAAUAAAUGUGAUCAAUAUGUCUACCCAUUACAAUGUGUUUGAAAAUUGGGAUAAACCAGAUUUUCAUAUGUGUAGAAUUGCUUAUAUCAGCAGUGAAUGGCAAAUUAAAAAACUCUUGUGACAAUAAGGACGAUCUGGAUUUUGCGCAUUUCUGUAGGAUAAACUGAUAUCUAAAAAUAGCAUGCAUGAAUCCAAAACAUCUUUUAACUGAUUAAAACACACUUUUCAAUCCAAGACUGUGCUUCUCA